UGAUAAGAAGAGGACUUAAACCU
RNAcentral lists this transfer RNA (23 nucleotides) under Boana albopunctata (spotted treefrog). RNAcentral describes it as "partial tRNA-Tyr". Lineage: Eukaryota; Metazoa; Chordata; Amphibia; Anura; Hylidae. The record is from RNAcentral.